This 497-nucleotide ribosomal RNA is filed under the name uncultured bacterium. RNAcentral's name for it is "partial 16S ribosomal RNA". It matches the Rfam family "Bacterial small subunit ribosomal RNA", at positions 28 to 507 of the family's 1533-position model. The record is from RNAcentral.
GAUGAACGCUGGCGGCGUGCCUAAUACAUGCAAGUCGAGCGAACAGAUGAGGAGCUUGCUCCUCUGACGUUAGCGGCGGACGGGUGAGUAACACGUGGAUAACCUACCUAUAAGACUGGGAUAACUUCGGGAAACCGGAGCUAAUACCGGAUAAUAUAUUGAACCGCAUGGUUCAAUAGUGAAAGACGGUUUUGCUGUCACUUAUAGAUGGAUCCGCGCCUCAUUAGCUAGUUGGUAGGGUAACGGCUUACCAAGGCAACGAUCCGUAGCCGACCUGAGAGGGCGAUCGGCCACACUGGAACUGAGACACGGCCCAGACUCCUACGGGAGGCAGCAGUAGGGAAUCUUCCGCAAUGGGCGAAAGCCUGACGGAGCAACGCCGCGUGAGUGAUGAAGGUCUUCGGAUCGUAAAACUCUGUUAUUAGGGAAGAACAAAUGUGUAAGUAACUAGGCACGUCUUGACGGUACCUAAUCAGAAAGCCACGGCUAACUACGUG